Molecule: ribosomal RNA, 128 nt
Filed under: uncultured eukaryote
Lineage: Eukaryota
Description: partial small subunit ribosomal RNA
Rfam family: Eukaryotic small subunit ribosomal RNA
Source: RNAcentral
CCCUGCCAUUUGUACACACCGCCCGUCGCUACUACCGAUUGAAUGAUUUAGUGAGGUCUUCGGACUGAGCGCGGUGGCGUUUCGGCGUCGCCGAUGCUUCGGAAAGAUGACCAAACUUGAUCAUUUAG